This 253-nucleotide ribosomal RNA is filed under the name uncultured bacterium. RNAcentral's name for it is "partial 16S ribosomal RNA". It matches the Rfam family "Bacterial small subunit ribosomal RNA", at positions 524 to 776 of the family's 1533-position model. The record is from RNAcentral.
GACAUAGGUCGCAAACGUUAUCCGGAAUUAUUGGGUGUAAAGGGCAAGUAGGUGGCUUGGUAAGUGAGAGGUGAAAUACUCCGGCUCAAUCGGAGAACUGCCUUUCAUACUGCCUUGCUUGAGGAUGACAGGGGGAAAUGGAAUUCCCGGUGUAAGGGUGAAAUCUGUAGAUAUCGGGAAGAACACCAGCGGCGAAGGCGAUUUCCUAGGUCAUUCCUGACACUCAAUUGCGAAAGCUAGGGGAGCAAACAGA